Molecule: long non-coding RNA, 371 nt
Organism: Sinocyclocheilus anshuiensis
Lineage: Eukaryota; Metazoa; Chordata; Actinopteri; Cypriniformes; Cyprinidae
Exons: 3
Source: RefSeq, a predicted model, not a curated record
GUGUGUGUGUGUGUGUGCAGGUACGGCUUUCUCUUCGAUAAGGCUCUGCUAGUGUGUAAGAAGCGCAGCGGCGAGAAUCUGGAGCUGAAGGAGCUGAUUGAGCUUCAGCAUUACCAGCUGAGAGACGAGCCGUCAGGAGAAAAGGACAGCAAGAAGUGGACGCACACCUUCCUGCUGAUGGAUCUGUACGGUCAGGGCGGCUACGAUCUGUACUUUAAGACGCGAGAGCUGAAGAAGAAGUGGCUGGAGCAGUUUGAGAUGGCACUGUCCAACAUGUGUCCGGAGAACAGCACGGCUAACGGUCAUGACUUCCAGAUGCACUGUUUUGAGGACACCACCUCGUGUAAAGCCUGUCAGAUGCUCCUCAGGUG